ACUAACCAGGAUUCCCUUAGUAACGGCGAGUGAAGCGGGACAAGCUCAGACUGAAAAGCUUCGGCGUUGUAGUCUGGAGAAGUGAAGUCAGCAUUAAGUUUCGGAUAAAGUCUCUUGGAACAGAGCGCCGUGGAGGGUGAUAGCCCCGUUCAUGUCUGAAACGAAGUGUGUACGACUCGCUUUCUAAGAGUCGAGUUGUUUGGGAUUGCAGCUCUAAGUGGGUGGUAAAUUCCAUCUAAAGCUAAAUAUAAAUGGGAGACCGAUAGCGAACAAGUACCGUGAGGGAAAGAUGCAAAGAACUUUGAAAAGAGAGUUAAAUAGUACCUGAAAUUGCUGAAAUGGAACCGAUGGGAAGCAGUGUCGGCUGGGUGGUACUUGUACCAUUUAGCAAGUUAGGCUUCUUUAAUUAUGUGGGAAAAGCUUCUAAACCAGUUUGGGUUAGUUUUGCUGUCAUGUGAUUGAAGGACUCUGACGAAAUGCUUCUUAUCAACCCGUCUUGAAACACGGACCAAGGAGUCUAACAUGUGUGCGAGUGCUCGGGGUAAAACUCCCAGCGCGGAAUUAACGUAAAGGUGGAUUUAUUCACUGAGGUAGGAUCUGUAAAGUGCACUAUCGACCGACCAUGAUCCUUCGGGAGAAAGGUUUGAGUGUGAGCAUACAUGUUGGGACCCGAAAGAUGGUGAACUAUGCCUGAGUAGGGCGAAGCCAGGGGAAACUCUGGUGGAGGCCCGCAGCGAUUCUAACGUGCAAAUUGAUCGUCGAAUCUUGGGUAUAGGGGCGAAAGACUAAUCGAACCAUCUAGUAGCUGGUUCCUCCCGAAAUUUCCCUUAGGAUAGCUGCAACCGAACAGUUUUAUCAGGUAAAGCGAAUGAUUAGAGGCCUCAGGGGUGGAACGUCCUUGACCUAUUCUCAAACUUUAAAUGGGUAAGAGCCCUGGGUUGCUUAAUUGAACCCGGCGGUCGAAUGACGGUUGCUAGUGGGCCAAUCUGGGUAAGCUAGAUUGGCGAUGCGGGAUGAACCGAACGUCUAGUUAAAGUGCCAAAGUAUCCGCUAACCUAGAUCCCACAAAAGGUGUUGGUUCAUUAAGACAGCAGGACGGUGGCCAUGGAAGUCGGAACCCG
Molecule: ribosomal RNA, 1121 nt
Filed under: Spumella sp. LG-2014b
Lineage: Eukaryota; Chrysophyceae; Chromulinales; Chromulinaceae
Description: eukaryotic LSU rRNA
Rfam family: Eukaryotic large subunit ribosomal RNA
Source: RNAcentral